GAUGAACGCUGGCGGCGUGCUUAACACAUGCAAGUCGAACGGAAAGGCCCAAGCUUGCUUGGGUACUCGAGUGGCGAACGGGUGAGUAACACGUGGGCGAUCUGCCCUGCACUUCGGGAUAAGCCUGGGAAACUGGGUCUAAUACCGGAUAGGACCACAUUUUGGAUGGUGUGGUGGAAAGUUUUUCGGUGUGGGAUGAGCUCGCGGCCUAUCAGCUUGUUGGUGGGGUAAUGGCCUACCAAGGCGUCGACGGGUAGCCGGCCUGAGAGGGUGUACGGCCACAUUGGGACUGAGAUACGGCCCAGACUCCUACGGGAGGCAGCAGUGGGGAAUAUUGCACAAUGGGCGCAAGCCUGAUGCAGCGACGCCGCGUGGGGGAUGACGGCCUUCGGGUUGUAAACUCCUUUCGCUAGGGACGAAGCGUUAUGUGACGGUACCUGGAGAAGAAGCACCGGCUAACUACGU
RNAcentral lists this ribosomal RNA (465 nucleotides) under uncultured bacterium. Its description in RNAcentral is "partial 16S ribosomal RNA". It matches the Rfam family "Bacterial small subunit ribosomal RNA", at positions 28 to 506 of the family's 1533-position model. The record is from RNAcentral.